UUUCAGGCGGCCUCCUGAGAAAUGUUUGCAAUUGUAAGGCGUCUCUCUCAUCCAGGUUUACCCAGAUUCGCAAACUAUGGCGACAAACAACCAUAGCAGAAGCAUGUCCGGAUUAUUUCACAUAUAUCACAAAAUCCUGCAAAGGGUCUGUCCCCAUUGGAUCACCUCCCAUCACGCCACACACGACGUGAAUGACUUCGUGCUUCUCCAUACCUGCAUUGAUCUCUGGGUCCAUUGCCAGUUAUAAACCUCCAAGGGCAAUAGCCAUGAGGUGAUGUACAGUCAAGCAUCACUUAAUAACCAGGAUACAUUCUGAGAAAUUUGUCGUUAGGCAAUUUUUUCAUUGCACGAACCUCACAGAGUGUACUUACACUAACCUAGAUAGUAGCAUCCAGUAAACACCUGGGCUAUAUGGUCUAGCCUAUUGCUCCUAGGCUACAAACCUGUAUAGCAUGUUACUGUACUGAAUAUGUAGGCACUUGUAACACAAUGGUAAGUGUUUUUGUAUCUAAACAUAUCUAAACAUAGGAGAGGUAAUGCAUUGUGCUACAGCAUUACAAUGGCUAUGACAGACACUAGGCAAUAGGAAUUUUCCAGCUCCAUUAUAAUCUUAAGGGACCACCAUGGCACAUGCAGCCCAUUGUUGACCAAAAGUUGUUAUGUGGUGAAUGACUAUAAUUGGCUUUUCAGAGCAACCACUCACAAGGGGGUGUAGUAUAGCUUACUAGACAAAACUGCAGCCGCUGCUCUGUUUUUUGCUCUUAGAAAACUGAGUACCUGAUUUGGACAAAAUCAUAAUAAAAUUUAGAUAGAGCCAACAUUUGUCCUCUGGAAGUUUCUGACAAGAUACAAGUCACCGUUAUAAUAGUCAAAUGUCAAAGUGGUAUAUCUAACAAAAUUAAAACAGACAGCUAGGAGUGAGAAGAUUUAAGAAAAUUCAGGUGGCCCAAAGGAAAGCCAAGACAAGACAUUCUCUCCCGGCCUUUGGGCCUGGAUUUUCAUUUCAGCAGGUAACGAGGAGACCAAAGGCCUAGUUAUUUAUGGAGAUCUGGGGCCACAGCAGAGCUCCUCAUGGCAGGAUAAGGCAGUGGAAAGCAGACUCAACGGUUAACCCACAGUCCUCCUCAGCAAGCUGGGAGAAGCAACUGAUGCCACUUAGAUGCUUAGACCGGGCCUUCUGGGAGAGAUCUGGCCCAAGGAGCAGCCGGCAGCUUGACACAGUGACCAAUUGGAAGCACAGCAGCCACACGCCAUGAAACAAGAGAGCCAGCUGGUGGACCGCAGAGACAGACUUCCAGCCAGGGCCAAGCCCUUCAGGAAGGGAGUCAUGCACCAAACUCAGCUAACAGACCACCAGGGCACCACUGGGUCUCCUGCUGGGGAACAGCACACCUAUGGGUGGGCUCUAGGGGUGGGGUGGCCUGGUUGCUGGUUCUGCUCUGCCACUUCUUAGCUGGACUUGAGCAAUUUGUAACAUUUCUUGGCUCAGUUUCUCCACCUGCACAAUCAAAAUAUCACUACCUUCCUCCAAGAUUGCAUUAAGUGUGACAAUUUAUGUAAAGCACUUAGUCCAGUGCCUGGCACCUAGUAAGUACUGAAUAGUGAAAACAAUUUAAGUCUAACAAAUCCACACACCAUGACGUCAGACAAAUUAGGCAUCUUUCAUUGCUGUUGUGAAAAUUGCGCUAACUCUAAACUCUAACGUACAUCUGGCUCACUGUCUUUCUGUAAGACCAGUCAGAGCAGCAGCUCCUUCCUUGGUAAAAUACUUUAAAAAACUCCCAUUCCUGGCUGGGCACCGGGGCUCACGCCUGUAAUCCCAGUAGAUUGG
RNAcentral lists this long non-coding RNA (1831 nucleotides) under Homo sapiens (human). Its description in RNAcentral is "HSALNT0308866". The record is from RNAcentral. Lineage: Eukaryota; Metazoa; Chordata; Mammalia; Primates; Hominidae.